AUUUAAAUGGCCAGCUUGGGCAUUUCUGUGCCAAGCCCUUCGGAGGCUGGGGAUCACUUCCACUCCAAGAAGGAAAGCAACUCACUCACGUGAGGAACGGAAUCCUCAAACAGCUCGGAGCCCCGGUGACGCACUCCCAGCUUGGAAAAUGGCCCAGGUCCACCUCGCUAACAGCAGCUAGGUGGGGAGAUGCUCGCGUGCACUAUUGUUUCCAGAUGUUUAUUUUUAACUUCUGUUUGAUGCCGGUUCCCCGAAGCUGGGCCCGGUGGGGAGGGAAGCCUCUGGCAACGCCACUAGUGGCUCUGGGAGCAAUCGAGUUUCAAUAAUAAAAACACCCCUUUAUCCUUUUA
RNAcentral lists this long non-coding RNA (350 nucleotides) under Rattus norvegicus (Norway rat). Its description in RNAcentral is "long non-coding RNA NONRATT014931". The record is from RNAcentral. Lineage: Eukaryota; Metazoa; Chordata; Mammalia; Rodentia; Muridae.